Molecule: ribosomal RNA, 484 nt
Filed under: Synechococcus sp. SB0666_bin_14
Lineage: Bacteria; Bacillati; Cyanobacteriota; Cyanophyceae; Synechococcales; Synechococcaceae
Description: bacterial SSU rRNA
Rfam family: Bacterial small subunit ribosomal RNA
Source: RNAcentral
UGUCGUCAGCUCGUGUCGUGAGAUGUUGGGUUAAGUCCCGCAACGAGCGCAACCCACGUUUUUAGUUGCCAGCAUUCAGUUGGGCACUCUAGAAAGACUGCCGGUGACAAACCGGAGGAAGGUGUGGACGACGUCAAGUCAUCAUGCCCCUUACGCCUUGGGCUACACACGUACUACAAUGCUGCGGACAAAGAGUAGCGAUCUUGCGAAAGUUAGCUAAUCUCGUAAACCGUGGCUCAGUUCAGAUCGUAGGCUGCAACUCGCCUACGUGAAGGAGGAAUCGCUAGUAAUCGCAGGUCAGCAUACUGCGGUGAAUACGUUCCCGGGCCUUGUACACACCGCCCGUCACACCAUGGAAGUUGGCCAUGCCCGAAGUCGUUACUCUAACCUUUUUGGAAGAGGGCGCCGAAGGCAGGGCUAAUGACUGGGGUGAAGUCGUAACAAGGUAGCCGUAGCGGAAGCUGCGGCUGGAUCACCUCCUAAC